RNAcentral lists this unclassified non-coding RNA (315 nucleotides) under Hevea brasiliensis (rubber tree). Lineage: Eukaryota; Viridiplantae; Streptophyta; Magnoliopsida; Malpighiales; Euphorbiaceae. The record is from RNAcentral.
GAAUUUCAAUAAUAUUCUUAAAAUAAAAAAAAAGAAAAUUUGGAAUCUUAAUUUUUGCCUGAAAUUAGUUAAAAGAAGGAAUUGGUGGUAAUUUUUCCUCUCUUCUUGUUCUUGUAGUAGGCAUUUACCUUUAUGUAUUCAAUUUUUGUUGGAGAUGAGAUGCCUUAUGAUAAUGCUUUCAAAUUAAAGUUUCUGUGAUUCUGAUUCAGCUUAUAGUUGAACUUCACUAGUGAACUAGUGAACUUAUAACGAGUGUUUAUUAUGUGUUUGUAUGCAUGUGGAGAAACAUUGGACUAACUAAAACUAAUACUCUGU